This 363-nucleotide long non-coding RNA is filed under the name Olea europaea subsp. europaea. Lineage: Eukaryota; Viridiplantae; Streptophyta; Magnoliopsida; Lamiales; Oleaceae. The record is from RNAcentral.
GUAGAUGCUUUGUAUUCUUCUAUGUAGGUCCAUCUCCACCUUAGACCUUCAGCAGCACUGCAUUAACCAACACUCCUAGCUUCUUGUAUAUUGUGACUUCUGCUCAAAGAAAGAGCACGUUUUGUUAUUUAUAAGGAGAAUGAGGAUGUGCUUAGCCACUUCAAGAUAAGAGAAGGAGCAAGUUUUCAUCUCGCUGGGGCAAGUGUAAUUGAAGUAAAAUUAGAGGAAAUUAUUUAUUCUUUUUAAUAUCAAAAUUUCAUGCUCUUGAAGAUUGUUUUUCACAGUAGUUCUCAUUUUAUGGAUUUUAAAGACUACUCUUUAUUUAUUUAUUAUUAUUUUUUAGUAAUUGUGUAUUUGUCUCAG